This 428-nucleotide ribosomal RNA is filed under the name uncultured bacterium. RNAcentral describes it as "bacterial SSU rRNA". It matches the Rfam family "Bacterial small subunit ribosomal RNA", at positions 335 to 755 of the family's 1533-position model. The record is from RNAcentral.
ACUCCUACGGGAGGCAGCAGUGGGGAAUAUUGCACAAUGGGGGAAACCCUGAUGCAGCCAUGCCGCGUGUGUGAAGAAGGCCUUCGGGUUGUAAAGCACUUUCAGUAGGGAGGAAGGUAGUGUAGUUAACACCUGCAUUAUUUGACGUUACCUACAGAAGAAGCACCGGCUAACUCCGUGCCAGCAGCCGCGGUAAUACGGAGGGUGCGAGCGUUAAUCGGAAUUACUGGGCGUAAAGCGCAUGCAGGUGGUUUGUUAAGUCAGAUGUGAAAGCCCGGGGCUCAACCUCGGAAUUGCAUUUGAAACUGGCAGACUAGAGUACUGUAGAGGGGGGUAGAAUUUCAGGUGUAGCGGUGAAAUGCGUAGAGAUCUGAAGGAAUACCGGUGGCGAAGGCGGCCCCCUGGACAGAUACUGACACUCAGAUGCG